This 497-nucleotide ribosomal RNA is filed under the name uncultured bacterium. RNAcentral describes it as "partial 16S ribosomal RNA". It matches the Rfam family "Bacterial small subunit ribosomal RNA", at positions 28 to 507 of the family's 1533-position model. The record is from RNAcentral.
GAUGAACGCUGGCGGCGUGCCUAAUACAUGCAAGUCGAGCGAACAGAUAAGGAGCUUGCUCCUUUGACGUUAGCGGCGGACGGGUGAGUAACACGUGGGUAACCUACCUAUAAGACUGGGAUAACUUCGGGAAACCGGAGCUAAUACCGGAUAACAUUUGGAACCGCAUGGUUCUAAAGUGAAAGAUGGUUUUGCUAUCACUUAUAGAUGGACCCGCGCCGUAUUAGCUAGUUGGUAAGGUAACGGCUUACCAAGGCAACGAUACGUAGCCGACCUGAGAGGGUGAUCGGCCACACUGGAACUGAGACACGGUCCAGACUCCUACGGGAGGCAGCAGUAGGGAAUCUUCCGCAAUGGGCGAAAGCCUGACGGAGCAACGCCGCGUGAGUGAUGAAGGGUUUCGGCUCGUAAAACUCUAUUAUUAGGGAAGAACAAACGUGUAAGUAACUGUGCACGUCUUGACGGUACCUAAUCAGAAAGCCACGGCUAACUACGUG